AUGCUUGAUGUGGUGGUUUCCCUGGUAGUAGUUGAAACUAUUAUCCUGAUCACAGAUCCUAAAGUGAGUCAGUUAGCUACUGCAGCGAUUGGUUUUUCUCCUCGGGAACUUUUACCGGCUCCUUCCCCUGCCAAGAUGAGUCAGGGUAAUAGUCUGUAUACUCAUAUUGAAGGAGGUUCUUCUAGACGAGUUUUCUUUGUCGGAGGGUGGAUGAUGUUCUGGGCUCUAGCGACCUUUCAAGAGAGCAGGAUGAGUUAG
Non-coding RNA from Vicia faba (fava bean), 258 nucleotides. Lineage: Eukaryota; Viridiplantae; Streptophyta; Magnoliopsida; Fabales; Fabaceae. The record is from the annotation of a GenBank genome assembly.